GAUGAACGCUGACAGAAUGCUUAACACAUGCAAGUCUUUGGCGAAGCUGUGCUUGCACAGCCUAGCCAGGGCGGACGGGUGAGUAACGCGUAAGGAACUUGCCCUGCAGUCAGGGAUAACAGACGGAAACGACUGAUAAGACCUGGUAAAGUCAGGCGGACUCAUGUCCAGCCUGAUGAAAAGAGAUGCUGCAGGAGAGCCUUGCGUCCUAUUAGCUUGUUGGUGGGGUAACGGCCCACCAAGGCGAUGAUAGGUAGCCGGCCUGAGAGGGUGGACGGCCACAAGGGGACUGAGAUACGGCCCUUACUCCUACGGGAGGCAGCAGUGGGGAAUAUUGGACAAUGGGGGCAACCCUGAUCCAGCAAUUCUGUGUGCACGAUGAAGGUUUUCGGAUUGUAAAGUGCUUUCAGCAGGGAAGAAAAAAAUGACGGUACCUGCAGAAGAAGCGACGGCUAAAUACGUG
Molecule: ribosomal RNA, 463 nt
Filed under: uncultured bacterium
Lineage: Bacteria
Description: partial 16S ribosomal RNA
Rfam family: Bacterial small subunit ribosomal RNA
Source: RNAcentral